CAGUAGCCGCGGUAAUACGUAGGUGGCAAGCGUUGUCCGGAAUUAUUGGGCGUAAAGGGCUCGCAGGCGGUUUCUUAAGUCUGAUGUGAAAGCCCCCGGCUCAACCGGGGAGGGUCAUUGGAAACUGGGAAACUUGAGUGCAGAAGAGGAGAGUGGAACUCCACGUGUAGCGGUGAAAUGCGUAGAGAUGUGGAGGAACACCAGUGGCGAAGGCGACUCUCUGGUCUGUAACUGACGCUGAGGAGCGAAAGCGUGGGGGGCGAGCAGGAUUAGAUACCCCUGUAGUCCCUGUCUCUUAUAC
RNAcentral lists this ribosomal RNA (301 nucleotides) under uncultured bacterium. RNAcentral describes it as "partial 16S ribosomal RNA". It matches the Rfam family "Bacterial small subunit ribosomal RNA", at positions 509 to 807 of the family's 1533-position model. The record is from RNAcentral.